AUGAAUAAAAAUCAGUAUAGAAGUGUCAUCUUGACAACAUGCUAUCCUGAUUUUCUUAUUCACUGUAUUGUCUGUCUCGCUUCCUCUAACGGAUGCCUGGGUGGCUCAGCUGUUGAGUGUCUGCCUUUGGCUCAUGGCAUGAUCCCGUCCCCUCAGAUGGAGUCCACAUUGAGCUCCCUAGAGGAGCCAGCUUCUCCCUCUGUCUAUGUCUCUGCCUCUCUCUGUGUGUCUCUCAUGAAUAAAAUCUUUUUUAAAAAUUUCCUUUAAGUGUGCAGUGAUACCUCCUUAUGGUUGUAAUUUACAUUUCUCUGGUGCUUAAAAGUGUUUAGCACUAUUUCAUAUGCUUAUUUGUUCUUGUUUUUUAAAGAUUUUACAUAAGGUGUGAAGAAUGUGUAGGUUUCUUUUAUUUUGUCUAUCUUAAGGUCCAAAUGUUCCAGUGAAAUUUCCUUGUAAAGACUAUAAUUUGUUGAAAUGCAUUUUCACCUCUGUCAAAAACUACAUCUUUUUUUUUUUUUUUUUUUGGAUGGGUCUAUUUAUGAAGCCUCUAUCUACUCUGUUCCAUUGAUCUGUGUGUCUAUCAUUUCAACAAUACCAUUUUCUCUUGGAUAUCAUAGUUUUAUUCGUAAGUUGUGAUAUAGG
Molecule: long non-coding RNA, 639 nt
Filed under: Vulpes vulpes (red fox)
Lineage: Eukaryota; Metazoa; Chordata; Mammalia; Carnivora; Canidae
Description: lncRNA (ENSVVUG00000007994.1)
Source: RNAcentral